UCAAACUUGGUCAUUUAGAGGAAGUAAAAGUCGUAACAAGGUUUCCGUAGGUGAACCUGCGGAAGGAUCAUUAACAAAAUUGUUAUCCAAUAUUCACCUUGUGUGCAAUUUUGCAUGAUAUCCUUUGGAAAGAUUAUUCUAUUAUCUAUAAUAGUAAUAGUAAUCUUUCCAAAGAGGUUAUUAUAAUCAAUCUAUUUUUUCUUUUCUUUAUAAUGUCUAAAACUAAAAUAUCUAAAAUAACUUUUAACAACGGAUCUCUUGGUUCUCGCAUCAAUGAAGAACGCAGC
Molecule: unclassified non-coding RNA, 287 nt
Filed under: uncultured fungus
Lineage: Eukaryota; Fungi
Description: partial contains small subunit ribosomal RNA, internal transcribed spacer 1, and 5.8S ribosomal RNA
Rfam family: Eukaryotic small subunit ribosomal RNA (bases 1-73)
Source: RNAcentral